Etheostoma cragini (Arkansas darter) is the source of this 794-nucleotide long non-coding RNA. RefSeq lists it as uncharacterized. The record is from RefSeq and is a predicted model, not a curated record. NCBI's taxonomy places the organism in Eukaryota, Metazoa, Chordata, Actinopteri, Perciformes, Percidae. The transcript is spliced from 2 exons.
UUGGCUCAAAGUCAUAGCGCCCCCUAGUGGCAACAGGAAGUAGGCCUAAAAGACAAGGUGCUAUACUUUAACAAACUCCUCAUAGAGAUUUCAUCCGAUCAACUUCAAACUUGGUCUGUGUCAUCUCAAGAUGUUGAAGAUUAAAAGUUAUUAAAAGACUAAUUUUUUGUCAUACGGUGUGGGCGUGGCAUGGCGGCCAUGUUGAGUGUUUAGCAAUGAAGAAUUAAGUGACUGUAACUACAGUGUACGUUGUUGUAUCUGCUUGAAGUUUCCCACAAACAGCAAGGGUCCAGGCCUGAGGAAACGUACAGGCCAAUAUAGACUUUUGGAGAUAGCGCCACCAUCUGGCAGAAGAAAUAUGCCUUAUAUGACAAACAUCAUCCGAUUUACAUGAAACUUAGAAUGUGUGGACAACAUGUGAUACUGAGGCGGCCUCUAUAUUAUGACCACGCCCACGCACUCAGGCCACGCCCACUUUCAUAACAUUUGAACCGUUUAAAGGUACAGUCUUGUGUGAGGUAUCAAUGAACUCAGCAGAGACUUCCUUUUUUAUUAGUGAUGUUUGACCCGCCCCACUAUGAAGCGGCCACGCCCCCUUUCACGGAUAAUGACUUGUAUGUGGUAUAGGCUUGUGUGAGGUAUCAAUGAACUCAGCAGGGAGUUCACUUUUCAUUGGCGAUGAUUUUCAGCGUGUGAGUGACGCGCAAAUGCGCGGUCGCAAGGAGAGGCGUCCGCCGGUAACCCCGACUGGCGCAGGUUAGCGAGGGCCCUCCAUCGCUGCUUGCAGCUUUAAU